CAGUCGCCGCGGGAAUACGAAGGGGGCUAGCGUUGCUCGGAAUUACUGGGCGUAAAGGGAGCGUAGGCGGACAUUUAAGUCAGGGGUGAAAUCCCAGAGCUCAACUCUGGAACUGCCUUUGAUACUGGGUGUCUUGAGUGUGAUAGAGGUAUGUGGAACUCCGAGUGUAGAGGUGAAAUUCGUAGAUAUUCGGAAGAACACCAGUGGCGAAGGCGACAUACUGGAUCAUUACUGACGCUGAGGCUCGAAAGCGUGGGGAGCAAACAGGAUUAGAUACCCCGGUAGUCCCUGUCUCUUAUAC
Molecule: ribosomal RNA, 301 nt
Filed under: uncultured bacterium
Lineage: Bacteria
Description: partial 16S ribosomal RNA
Rfam family: Bacterial small subunit ribosomal RNA
Source: RNAcentral